RNAcentral lists this ribosomal RNA (496 nucleotides) under uncultured bacterium. Its description in RNAcentral is "partial 16S ribosomal RNA". It matches the Rfam family "Bacterial small subunit ribosomal RNA", at positions 28 to 506 of the family's 1533-position model. The record is from RNAcentral.
GAUGAACGCUGGCGGCGUGCCUAAUACAUGCAAGUCGAGCGAACGGACGAGAAGCUUGCUUCUCUGAUGUUAGCGGCGGACGGGUGAGUAACACGUGGAUAACCUACCUAUAAGACUGGGAUAACUUCGGGAAACCGGAGCUAAUACCGGAUAAUAUUUUGAACCGCAUGGUUCAAAAGUGAAAGACGGUCUUGCUGUCACUUAUAGAUGGAUCCGCGCUGCAUUAGCUAAUUGGUAAGGUAACGGCUUACCAAGGCAACGAUGCAUAGCCGACCUGAGAGGGUGAUCGGCCACACUGGAACUGAGACACGGUCCAGACUCCUACGGGAGGCAGCAGUAGGGAAUCUUCCGCAAUGGGCGAAAGCCUGACGGAGCAACGCCGCGUGAGUGAUGAAGGUCUGCGGAUCGUAAAACUCUGUUAUUAGGGAAGAACAUAUGUGUAAGUAACUGUGCACAUCUUGACGGUACCUAAUCAGAAAGCCACGGCUAACUACGU